GUGGGGAAUAUUGGACAAUGGGGGGAACCCUGAUCCAGCCAUGCCGCGUGUGUGAAGAAGGCCUUUUGGUUGUAAAGCACUUUAAGCGAGGAGGAGGCUACCGAGAUUAAUACUCUUGGAUAGUGGACGUUACUCGCAGAAUAAGCACCGGCUAACUCUGUGCCAGCAGCCGCGGUAAUACAGAGGGUGCAAGCGUUAAUCGGAUUUACUGGGCGUAAAGCGCGCGUAGGUGGCCAAUUAAGUCAAAUGUGAAAUCCCCGAGCUUAACUUGGGAAUUGCAUUCGAUACUGGUUGGCUAGAGUAUGGGAGAGGAUGGUAGAAUUCCAGGUGUAGCGGUGAAAUGCGUAGAGAUCUGGAGGAAUACCGAUGGCGAAGGCAGCCAUCUGGCCUAAUACUGACACUGAGGUGCGAAAGCAUGGGGAGCAAACAGGAUUAGAAACCCUAGAGUCC
This 450-nucleotide ribosomal RNA is filed under the name uncultured bacterium. RNAcentral describes it as "partial 16S ribosomal RNA". It matches the Rfam family "Bacterial small subunit ribosomal RNA", at positions 354 to 796 of the family's 1533-position model. The record is from RNAcentral.